UGGGGGAUAUUGCACAAUGGGCGAAAGCCUGAUGCAGCGACGCCGCGUGGGGGAUGAAGGCCUUCGGGUUGUAAACUUCUUUUGCUCUGAACAAGGCAUGCUAAUGGGUGUGUUGAGUGUAGGGGUUGAUUAGCGCCGGCUAACUACGUGCCAGCAGCCGCGGUAAUACGUAGGGCGCGAGCGUUGUCCGGAAUUAUUGGGCGUAAAGUGCUUGUAGGUGGCUGGUUGCGUCUGUCGUGAAAGCUCAUGGCUUAACUGUGGGUUUGCGGUGGGUACGGGCUGGCUUGAGUGCAGUAGGGGAGGCUGGAAUUCCUGGUGUAGCGGUGGAAUGCGCAGAUAUCAGGAGGAAUACCGGUGGCGAAGGCGGGUCUCUGGGCUGUUACUGACACUGAGAAGCGAAAGCAUGGGGAGCGAACAGG
This 419-nucleotide ribosomal RNA is filed under the name bacterium. RNAcentral's name for it is "partial 16S ribosomal RNA". It matches the Rfam family "Bacterial small subunit ribosomal RNA", at positions 355 to 776 of the family's 1533-position model. The record is from RNAcentral.